GCUGGGAGUUCAAUCCACCAUCGGCGCCCCACAUGGGUGGAUCAUGGGAGCGCAUGGUACGCUCUAUAAAAACAGCUAUGUCGGCCAUUGCGAAUCAUCAGCAUCAUCCAAGCGACGAAGUCUUGCAAACGGUAGCUACGGAGGCGGAAGCGAUUGUUAAUUCUAGACCAUUAACGUAUGUCCCAUUGGACUCAGCAGAACAAGAGGCUUUAACGCCCAACCAUUUCCUGCUGUUUGGUACCAGGGGCAUAGUUCAACCAGCAACUUCGGUUACUUCAGUAGGAAACAGUUUGAGGGAUAGUUGGCGCCUUGCGCACUACUUGGUGGAUCAAUUCUGGGGUAGGUGGAUACGAGAGUACCUACCCACCAUAACUAGACGCACUAAGUGGUUCGAUCCAGUUAAGCCGCUAGAGGUAGGAGAUCUAGUGCUGGUCGUCGAGGAGAACAAACGCAACGGUUGGCUGAGAGGACGAAUAGUAGAAGUGACCAAGGCAUCGGAUGGUCAAGUUCGGAGAGCAAUCGUGCAAACAAAGAAUGGCUUCCUAAAUCGACCUGCGGUAAAGAUAGCUCCACUGGACCUUCGGACAUCUGGUCGGUCCAGAACUACACGGGCGGGAGGAUGUAACGAACCCACUGGGCAUAUACGUGAGUGAGUUCAGUACCGCCCCUAGCUGUCAACGUCAGGUGAUCUUUGGCAGGAUAAAACGAUACCAGAACCUGAACGGAAAACAAAAAUACACAGAUAGUCACGUGCAUUCGAGAUAUUUUCCAAUAUAAUAUUAAAACGUAGUGAAUUCGACAACUAAACUUAUCUGCUACUUAACUUAGGCCCUAGUUUAUGCUUAUUGUUAAUGAAAAGAAAGGUGCCUAAGAACAUAGUACGGUUGAGUGAUUAGUAAGCUAAAUUAAAAAAGUACGCUAUUGAAUUUCUACAAGUCACAUAAGAAGAACAUUGAAGAACUAGUUUCGGAGAGGACAAAAAAUAAGAAGAAAACGAAUAUUUUUGAAGCUGUCUAUCACCUGCUAUCGGAACUCAUAUUCUUCAUUCAUACCUCCGAAACAAGUAUUCAACCUAUCAUAGCCUAUAAUCCGAGGCUUAAUCGAAUUUGAGUGAUGUCGGUAGUUCCGGAUUUCG
Molecule: long non-coding RNA, 1135 nt
Organism: Armigeres subalbatus
Lineage: Eukaryota; Metazoa; Arthropoda; Insecta; Diptera; Culicidae
Exons: 4
Source: RefSeq, a predicted model, not a curated record